Molecule: long non-coding RNA, 1872 nt
Organism: Mustela lutreola (European mink)
Lineage: Eukaryota; Metazoa; Chordata; Mammalia; Carnivora; Mustelidae
Exons: 3
Source: RefSeq, a predicted model, not a curated record
GCCGCCGUGCACCGAUUUCCUCCGGUCGCGUAGUCGUUCACGCGGUAGACCGGGGAGUAGGCGGCCCCGGGGCUGGACAGCUGCGGGAACAGAAAGCGACGCCGGGCCUGCGUCUGCAAGACCUGGGCUGGGUUCUGCCCUCUGCCCCUGAGCCGCGACCCGUCGGGCACCUCGCCGCAGCGCUGGGAUUGCUCGGCCUGCGGAGCGGGAAGAUGAAAGCAGCCGCUCGGGCGGAGGCGCCUUGCGGAGUUCGGCCCCGGCAGCGGGCGCUGGAGGAACGGUCGGUUCAGGCCUCCUGGCAAAGGAACUGGUGCCCAGGAAUGGCAGUGGGUUUUGGAGCCCCAGAAGGUUCCCAGCACCUCCAGGGGAAGUCCACUCCUGAGGUUAAAGUCUUCUGGGCGCCAGGAGAGCUCCUCCAGGGGGGCCAGACAACCACCAGUGGAGUACUCUGUCCUCAGUGUUCGACUGGGGGGUAGACUGCAGCUCCGUCCAGCUACAACACUCUCUGAAUCCGUGAGCGCACGAGGACGAAGCAUUGCCCAAACGUUCCUGAAUCGUCGCCCCUCCCUGCCCCCAACAAAACCAGGGAAAGAAGUGUCCCUGUUUGGGGAGUGUCCCUGGCUCUCUUAGACUGGUCAUGGGGAACUUCUCAUUGGGACCUUGGCUGAUUCUUCCCUGAUCAGAUCCAAGACCGUCCUGAGCAUCCAGGAUUCCUCUUCUUGAGUGGGAAACCCAGCCCCUCAUCCCUCUUUGAAUGCGAGAGUGAACUACAUAAGCUACUGUACUCACGGGUGUGCAGGGAGACAGAUUCUCUGACGAUGCGUAAGGUCAACAAAGGUACAAGGAUGUUUCCUACCACAGACCCUCCAAGGCACUUCCCCCAAGGUCUUCCUCCUCUUCCCCGCCCCCAGACUGGUCUCUCCCAAACCUUUUGCUCUCUGUACUCUUCCCAGAAAUGUGUUGGUGGGUUUCCAUGGGUUAGCUAUUUUCACAAAAGACCCAGUUCCUGACGAUGUCCCAGGUUCUGUCGACCUUUCUUGGCCAGAAUAACCCAUGGACGAGUGUCUUCCUGGAACCGUCUGCCGCCCGACUCUCUGUCCUGGGUCCUGGCCAAGACCUAAGAGCCAUUCAUUCAGGGCUCAGUAGUAAUGCCUGUUACGUGCAUAGACACUGAAGAUAUAAAAUGAGCAAAGCCCACUCCUGACCCUGGAGAAGCUUUCCUUCUAAUUGUUUUGUAGUUUGGGCUGCCCUACUUUCCCCUAAAAUUUGUUACCAGCUCUUUGCCUCAGUAAAGCCUCUUUUUGGCUGACUCACUUACCUUUUGCGUUUGUCCCAAGGAUCACGGAUACUAGUGACUAUCAUGCCGAGUGCCUCUCACAUGUCAGUCUUGAUGUCGAACACUGCACCUUCUUUUUCCCAUUUCAUCCUGGAAAAUAACAAUCUGUGCCUCCCACUUACCCCUGAUGACCCAAAAGAGAUGAACUCGCUUACCUGAGUUCCAACAGCUGGGAUCUGAGCCCAGAUGUGGUCCGACUUAGAAAUGCCGGACUCUCCCCUCUCCGCCCCCUUUGUUGGGAUGGUUGAGUGUUUCUCACUGGAGAACCUGGUGUCAGCCACCAGGGCUAGUUGGAUUCAACUGUAGGCCUCAGGAGUGCAGGAUUCUUGUCUGAUUUCUGCCCUCAUGCCCAGAUGCCUGGAAUGGUGCCUGGCAAAUAUCUGUUGAAUCGACUGGAAUGAAUGAAACACUGAAAACCCCCUUCGCCACCCACUAUCCUCAAGCAUGGCCUUGGCCACCAUCCACCAUGGUGCAUUCUGUGCACCGAGACACGAUGGGGGUGAAUCUCAGCUGGGGGGCUUGGGGUAUUCUCCAGG